UAGGGAAUCUUCCACAAUGGACGCAAGUCUGAUGGAGCAACGCCGCGUGAGUGAAGAAGGUUUUCGGACCGUAAAGCUCUGUUGUUGGUGAAGAAGGAUAGAGGUAGUAACUGGCCUUUAUUUGACGGUAAUCAACCAGAAAGUCACGGCUAACUACGUGCCAGCAGCCGCGGUAAUACGUAGGUGGCAAGCGUUGUCCGGAUUUAUUGGGCGUAAAGCGAGCGCAGGCGGAAGAAUAAGUCUGAUGUGAAAGCCCUCGGCUUAACCGAGGAAUUGCAUCGGAAACUGUUUUCUUGAGUGCAGAAGAGGAGAGUAGAACUCCAUGUGUAGCGGUGGAAUGCGUAGAUAUAUGGAAGAAUACCAGUGGCGAAGGCGGCUCUCUGGUCUGCAACUGACGCUGAGGCUCGAAAGCAUGGGUAGCGAACAGGAUUAGAUACCCUGGUAGUCCAUGCCGUAAACGAUGAGUGCUAAGUGUUGG
Molecule: ribosomal RNA, 478 nt
Filed under: uncultured bacterium
Lineage: Bacteria
Description: partial 16S ribosomal RNA
Rfam family: Bacterial small subunit ribosomal RNA
Source: RNAcentral